GGCGAAUAAAAUUUAAUCCAGUCUACCGAGACCAAUCCAAAAUUGUUCAUAUAUUUCAUACCAACCCCAAAAAUUUAGCCAUCAUGCUACCAUAGUGUCAUAAGCCACAAUUUCAAUAACAUAUAAAAUCAUAAAUUUCAACACAAUCUCCAUAUACUCAAUUUUCCCAAAACAAUAUUUGAUUUCAAAAUCAGUAUAAAUCUCAUUUUUAUUAAAAAAAAUAUUUUAAUUGGAAAACAUAAUAUUUUAUAAUUUAA
This 257-nucleotide long non-coding RNA is filed under the name Theobroma cacao (cacao). RNAcentral's name for it is "long non-coding RNA (TCAC_LNC001559)". Lineage: Eukaryota; Viridiplantae; Streptophyta; Magnoliopsida; Malvales; Malvaceae. The record is from RNAcentral.